CUCUCCCCCACUCCACCUGGGAAGAGUGAGUGAGUGGGUGUGUGGGGUCAAGCUGCCUGCUGGGACUAAAGCACAACAGCAUUAGCAAUGCAGUCAGCAAAGACAUCGAGGCUGUCACACUGUGGUGUGACACUGUGCUGCUUCUGGUGAAAAUGGCUACAAUAUUAUAUAAAUUUCAGUGGGCCAUGAAGCUCUAGAAUCAUAGAAUACCUGAGUUGGAGGGGACCCACAAAGAUCACCAAUUCCAGCUCCUGGUUGCCCAAAGGACUACCUCAAAAAAUCAGACCACGUGUCUGAGAAUGUUGGCCAAAUGUUUCUUGAACUCCGGCAGGCUUGGUGCCAUGAUCACUGCUCUGGAGAAGAUGAAGUUCAUGAUCAUGCAAGACUCUAGACUCUUCAUGGCCAAAGAAUUGGGUUAUCUUUCCGAUUAAGAAAACUGCAAAUUCUUGUAGAGAGUAAUGGUUUUUGUGUGGCUGAACUAGUGUUUAGGGUGUGACAAAGUGGGAAUAUACUUUGAGGAUAUAUGUUAAAAAAUGAAAGUGAAUAAAUAAUGUGAAAAAGACUAGGCUGCACUGUGAAUUUGUUGUGAAGGAUUGGUGACAUUGUGAAUAAUGUUCUGUCACAAGAGAGGAAAUUAAAUGAAGGAAAGCUGUGCUCUAAAGAAAAUGCAAGACAAAAAGAUUGAUCUCUGCUAAGUGGAAAAGACUAGCAUUUAUAUUCAGAGAAAUAUCACUGUUUCAUUUCUAAAAAGUUUUCAGAAAAAAAAAAUAAAAAGAAGCAAAUGUCUGAACA
This is a long non-coding RNA of Anas platyrhynchos (mallard), 792 nucleotides long. RefSeq lists it as uncharacterized. The record is from RefSeq and is a predicted model, not a curated record. Lineage: Eukaryota; Metazoa; Chordata; Aves; Anseriformes; Anatidae.